GCGUUGUUCGGAAUUACUGGGCGUAAAGCGCACGUAGGCGGAUAUUUAAGUCAGGGGUGAAAUCCCAGAGCUCAACUCUGGAACUGCCUUUGAUACUGGGUAUCUUGAGUAUGGAAGAGGUAAGUGGAAUUCCGAGUGUAGAGGUGAAAUUCGUAGAUAUUCGGAGGAACACCAGUGGCGAAGGCGGCUUACUGGUCCAUUACUGACGCUGAGGUGCGAAAGCGUG
RNAcentral lists this ribosomal RNA (226 nucleotides) under uncultured bacterium. RNAcentral's name for it is "partial 16S ribosomal RNA". It matches the Rfam family "Bacterial small subunit ribosomal RNA", at positions 538 to 763 of the family's 1533-position model. The record is from RNAcentral.